AUUUUGUGAAUGAGAUAAAGAUUUAAUGAUUUUCAUGAGAUGAAAAUAGGUUUCUACCCCUCGUGGCAUCGUAUUUUAAAGAAAAAGAGUUUCCGUAUGGGAAACGGUUUUGAAAGGAUUUUUAUUGGUUUCAUGACUCUUAGUGUUCCAAAACAAGUUUCCGGGUAGAAAAUAUUUUAAACUAAUAGAUGUAGAAUUACUAUUAUCUGUGAUGAUAUAAAGAGGAAUCUGUGAUGUGGUAUAUGUGUGUGGAUGUUUGUACUGUUAUGGUUGUAUUUUGUACUUGUGCGACGCCGUGCAAAUACAGGAAAGACUCU
This 317-nucleotide long non-coding RNA is filed under the name Ananas comosus (pineapple). Its description in RNAcentral is "long non-coding RNA (ACOM_LNC000611)". The record is from RNAcentral. Lineage: Eukaryota; Viridiplantae; Streptophyta; Magnoliopsida; Poales; Bromeliaceae.